This 931-nucleotide long non-coding RNA is filed under the name Equus asinus (donkey). RNAcentral describes it as "lncRNA (ENSEASG00005028096.1)". Lineage: Eukaryota; Metazoa; Chordata; Mammalia; Perissodactyla; Equidae. The record is from RNAcentral.
GAAGAUCUCUUAGGACCCCUACACCUACAAGAGCCUUUGAGACAAAGAUGCAACAAAGAGGCAAAGAAUAACGCAGACAGGAAAGUGAGAGAUGGCUGCUGGUUGGAUCACGGCUGGGAACGCAUGGAUGCGAAUCCAGGCUUGGCUUUAAGAGAGGGAGAGAAUGUGGAUAGAUAACACUUGAUUGAACGAGGUAUUUGACUUUUAAAAAAAAUUUGAUAUCUGAUAGGCUGUGGCAGGUAUGUUAAUAAGACAUUCUGUUAAGUCGCUGCCAUCAUGGACCUUACACACUAGCAGCUGUAGUGGGGAAAGGAGGGCAAAGCAUCAUGAAGCAAAUUGUUUUCCUCCACCUGCAGUAAGAUGUAAGUAGCAAAGGAGACAACCAGAGACACCAAGAGGCGAUCUGUAAGGCUUAGACGAGAGCCAUGUCAUUCAGAGUUCCAAGUCCAGAGCUCACAGGACAACUGGAGGGAAUUGCUGCCUCCAGUAGACACAGACCUCCCUCCUAACUCCACGCAGCAGCCCCCUCUGCCACCUGUCCCCAGAGCCCAGGCCUAUGGUUGGACCGGAUUCGUCACCUGGCUCUACAGGAUACACACACAAAUGGCAGUAAAUGGACCACAUGAAUGGACUGCAGCGAAGAGACCUGAGACAAUUCAUGCCAGUGCAGACUGAGAUGUGCAAGGCAGAAGCAAUUUAGAGAGACUGAAAGAGAAAGGAAGGCCCAGUUAAAAUCCAAAUGGAGAGAAGCACAAUGUAAAAGCAAAUUGGAAAAAGCUGAAGCAACAGAGGGACCCUCAGGAAGAUGGUGAGUGUGAGAAAAAAGCACAGGAGAAAUGUCCUCUGCAACCCAAACCCGCCUCAUCAAAUAGCUCUGGACCCAGUUUUUAUCUUUACAAGUGAUAGCUGGCUGCUGCCAACUGUUUGCAUA